RNAcentral lists this ribosomal RNA (426 nucleotides) under uncultured Pseudomonas sp. RNAcentral describes it as "bacterial SSU rRNA". It matches the Rfam family "Bacterial small subunit ribosomal RNA", at positions 957 to 1382 of the family's 1533-position model. The record is from RNAcentral. Lineage: Bacteria; Pseudomonadati; Pseudomonadota; Gammaproteobacteria; Pseudomonadales; Pseudomonadaceae.
CAACGCGAAGAACCUUACCACGGCCUUGACAUGCAGAGAACUUUCCAGAGAUGGAUUGUGCCUUCGGGAACUCUGACACAGGUGCUGCAUGGCUGUCGUCAGCUCGUGUCGUGAGUAUGUUGGGUUAAGUCCCGUAACGAGCGCAACCCUUGUCCUUAGUUACCAGCACGUUAUGGUGGCACUCUAAGGAGACUGCCGGUGCAAACCGGAGGAAGGUGGGGGAUGACGUCAAGUCAUCAUGGCCCUUACGGCCUGGGCUACACACGUGCUACAAUGGUCGGUACAAAGGGUUGCCAAGCCGCGAGGUGGAGCUAAUCCCAUAAAACCGAUCGUAGUCCGGAUCGCAGUCUGCAACUCGACUGCGUGAGGUCGGAAUCGCUAGUAAUCGUGAAUCAGAAUGUCACGGUGAAUACGUUCCCGGGCCUU